GGUGAAAGCCACUUUUCUGCUGGUUAGAUGCAAGGUUCUAUGACAACAGUUGGUAAUUAGAGAUGAACUCUGUAAAGUCCUUUCUAAAUCCUGUAUA
Myotis brandtii (Brandt's bat) is the source of this 97-nucleotide long non-coding RNA. RefSeq lists it as uncharacterized. Lineage: Eukaryota; Metazoa; Chordata; Mammalia; Chiroptera; Vespertilionidae. The transcript is spliced from 4 exons. The record is from RefSeq and is a predicted model, not a curated record.